GGUAAAAUGGCUGAGAUUAUAGGUGAUAGAUUGUAAAUCUAUUUAGGAGAAUUUUUUUUCUUUUUUACCA
This 70-nucleotide transfer RNA is filed under the name Pseudovates peruviana. RNAcentral's name for it is "tRNA-Tyr". The record is from RNAcentral. Lineage: Eukaryota; Metazoa; Arthropoda; Insecta; Mantodea; Mantidae.